CCCUUAGAUGUUCUGGGCUGCACGCGCGCGACAAUGACGUUUGCAACGAGAUUGCGAGGCCGUCAGGUCGAGCUGAUCUUGCAAGCUGCGUCGUGAUAGGGACAGUCGAUUGCAAUUAUUCGACUCGAACGAGGAAUUCCUUGUAAUCGCGCAUCAUCAGUGCGCGCUGAAUACGUCCCUGCCCUUUGUACACACCGCCCGACGCUCCUACCGAUUGAGUGAUCCGGUGAAUGUUUUGGAUCGGCUUCAAGUUGGUUCGCGCCUCUUGCUUGCUGUGAAAUCAUGUAAACCUUAUUGCUUAGAGGAAGGAGAAGUCGUAACA
RNAcentral lists this ribosomal RNA (322 nucleotides) under uncultured eukaryote. Its description in RNAcentral is "partial 18S ribosomal RNA". It matches the Rfam family "Eukaryotic small subunit ribosomal RNA", at positions 1470 to 1796 of the family's 1831-position model. The record is from RNAcentral.